RNAcentral lists this ribosomal RNA (480 nucleotides) under uncultured bacterium. RNAcentral's name for it is "bacterial SSU rRNA". It matches the Rfam family "Bacterial small subunit ribosomal RNA", at positions 30 to 506 of the family's 1533-position model. The record is from RNAcentral.
AUUGAACGCUGGCGGAAUGCUUUACACAUGCAAGUCGAACGGUAGAGGGGGCAACCCCUUGAGAGUGGCGAACGGGUGAGUAAUAUAUCGGAACGUGCCCAGUCGUGGGGAUAACGUAGCGAAAGUUACGCUAAUACCGCAUACGAUCUAAGGAUGAAAGCGGGGGACUCGCAAGAGCCUCGCGCGAUUGGAGCGGCCGAUAUCAGAUUAGGUAGUUGGUGGGGGUAAAGGCUCACCAAGCCAACGAUCUGUAGCUGGUCUGAGAGGACGACCAGCCACACUGGAACUGAGACACGGUCCAGACUCCUACGGGAGGCAGCAGUGGGGAAUUUUGGACAAUGGACGCAAGUCUGAUCCAGCCAUUCCGCGUGCAGGAUGAAGGCCCUCGGGUUGUAAACUGCUUUUGUACGGAACGAAAGGUUUCUAUUAAUACUAGGAGCUCAUGACGGUACCGUAAGAAUAAGCACCGGCUAACUACGU